RNAcentral lists this ribosomal RNA (529 nucleotides) under uncultured Gammaproteobacteria bacterium. RNAcentral describes it as "bacterial SSU rRNA". It matches the Rfam family "Bacterial small subunit ribosomal RNA", at positions 56 to 581 of the family's 1533-position model. The record is from RNAcentral. Lineage: Bacteria; Pseudomonadati; Pseudomonadota; Gammaproteobacteria.
UGCAGUCGAGCGGCAGCACGGGGGCAACCCUGGUGGCGAGCGGCGGACGGGUGAGGAAUACAUCGGAAUCUGCCUUGUUGUGGGGAAUAACGUANGGAAACUUACGCUAAUACCGCAUAAGACCGAAAGGUGAAAGUGGGGGAUCGCAAGACCUCACGCGACAAGAUGAGCCGAUGUCGGAUUAGCUAGUUGGUGAGGUAAUGGCUCACCAAGGCGACGAUCCGUAGCUGGUCUGAGAGGAUGAUCAGCCACACUGGAACUGAGACACGGUCCAGACUCCUACGGGAGGCAGCAGUGGGGAAUAUUGGACAAUGGGCGCAAGCCUGAUCCAGCCAUGCCGCGUGGGUGAAGAAGGCCUUCGGGUUGUAAAGCCCUUUUGUUGGGAAAGAAAUCCUGUCGGUUAAUAUCUGGCGGGGAUGACGGUACCCRAAGAAUAAGCACCGGCUAACUUCGUGCCAGCAGCCGCGGUAAUACGAAGGGUGCAAGCGUUACUCGGAAUUACUGGGCGUAAAGCGUGCGUAGGCGGUUC